This is a long non-coding RNA of Oncorhynchus tshawytscha (Chinook salmon), 873 nucleotides long. Lineage: Eukaryota; Metazoa; Chordata; Actinopteri; Salmoniformes; Salmonidae. The record is from Ensembl.
GUUGUGGAUUCCUAAUGUCCAUUAUGGCUCUAAUAUGAUAAUGGUAGUAGGUUGGUGGAUGUCUAGUGUCCCUUAUGGCUCUAAUCUGAUAGUGGUAGUGGGGUGGUAGAUUCCUAGUGUCCCUUAUGGCUCUAAUCUGAUAGUGGUAGUGGGGUGGCAGAUUCCUAGUGUCCCUUAUGGCUCUAAUCUGAUAGUGGUAGUGGCGUGGUAGAUUCCUAGGGUCCCUUAUGGCUCUAAUCUGAUAGUGGUAUGGGGUGGUAGAUUCCUAGUGUCCCUUGUGGCUCUAAUAUGAUAAUGGCAGUAGGGUGGUGGAUGUCUAGUGUCCCUUAUGGCUCUAAUAUGAUAAUGGUAGUAGGGUGGUGGAUGUCUAGUGUCCCUUAUGGCUCUAAUAUGAUAAUGGCAGUAGGGUGGUGGAUGUCUAGUGUCCCUUAUGGCUCUAAUAUGAUAAUGGUAGUAGGGUGGUGGAUGUCUAGUGUCCCUUAUGGCUCUAAUCUGAUAGUGGUAGUGGGGGGUGGCAGAUUCCUAGUGUCCCUUAUGGCUCUAAUCUGAUAGUGGUAGUGGGGUGGUAGAUUCCUAGUGUCCCUUAUGGCUCUAAUAGGAUAGUGGUAGUGCGGGGUGGUAGAUUCCUAGUGUACCUUAUGGCUCUAAUCUGAUAGUGGUAGUGGGGGGUGGCAGAUUCCUAGUGUCCCUUAUGGCUCUAAUCUGAUAGUGGUAGUGGGGUGGUAGAUUCCUAGGGUCCCUUAUGGCUCUAAUAGGAUAGUGGUAGUGGGGUUGUAGAUUCCUAGUGUCCCUUAUGGCUCUAAUCUGAUAGUGGUAGUGGGGUGGUUGAUUCCUAGUGUCCCUUAUGGCUCUAAUCUGAUAGUGGUAGUGGGG